UGUCCAGGUUUGGGGCAUGAACCUGGCAUACAAUGUAGAUUUCUGUGUUUGUUAAGCAACAGCUACAUUGUCUGCUGGGUUUCCAGCUGCCUGGAA
This 96-nucleotide microRNA precursor is filed under the name Falco tinnunculus (common kestrel). RNAcentral's name for it is "miRNA (ENSFTIG00000010919.1)". The stretch from base 11 to 94 matches the Rfam family "mir-221 microRNA precursor family". Lineage: Eukaryota; Metazoa; Chordata; Aves; Falconiformes; Falconidae. The record is from RNAcentral.